AACCCUUGUCUUAAUUGCCAUCAUUUAGUUGGGCACUUUAAGAGACUGCCGGUGUUAAGCCGGAGGAAGGUGGGAUGACGUCAAGUCCUCAUGGCCUUAUGCCCAGGGCUACACACGUGCUACAAUGGGCGGUACAAAGAGAAGCAACCUCGCGAGGGUGAGCAAAUCUCAAAAAGCCGUUCUCAGUUCGGAUUGAAGUCUGCAACUCGACUUCAUGAAGUCGGAAUCGCUAGUAAUCGCGGAUCAGCAUGCCGCGGUGAAUACGUUCCCGGGCCUU
RNAcentral lists this ribosomal RNA (277 nucleotides) under uncultured Syntrophaceae bacterium. RNAcentral's name for it is "partial 16S ribosomal RNA". It matches the Rfam family "Bacterial small subunit ribosomal RNA", at positions 1100 to 1382 of the family's 1533-position model. Lineage: Bacteria; Pseudomonadati; Thermodesulfobacteriota; Syntrophia; Syntrophales; Syntrophaceae. The record is from RNAcentral.